AGGUGAAACACAGGAAGUACAGGUGAAACACAUGGUAAAUACAGGUGAAACACAUGGUAAAUACAGGUGAAACACAUGGUAAAUACAGGUGAAACACAGGAAGUACAGGUGAAACACAUGGUAAAUACAGGUGAAACACAGGGUAAAUACAGGUGAAACACAGGGUAAAUACAGGUGAAACACAGGGUAAAUACAGGUGAAACACAGGGUAAAUACAGGUGAAACACAGGAAGUACAGGUGAAACACAUGGUAAAUACAGGUGAAACACAGGGUAAAUACAGGUGAAACACAGGGUAAAUACAGGUGAAACACAGGAAGUACAGGUGAAACACAGGAAGUACAGGUGAAACACAUGGUAAAUACAGGUGAAACACAUGGUAAAUACAGGUGAAACACAUGGUAAAUACACGUGUUUCACCUGUA
Austrofundulus limnaeus is the source of this 424-nucleotide long non-coding RNA. RefSeq lists it as uncharacterized. Lineage: Eukaryota; Metazoa; Chordata; Actinopteri; Cyprinodontiformes; Rivulidae. The transcript is spliced from 3 exons. The record is from RefSeq and is a predicted model, not a curated record.